Molecule: long non-coding RNA, 956 nt
Organism: Chlorocebus sabaeus (green monkey)
Lineage: Eukaryota; Metazoa; Chordata; Mammalia; Primates; Cercopithecidae
Source: RefSeq, a predicted model, not a curated record
CGGGGCCCCAGGGAGAGUCUCGCUGCCUGAAAGGCUCCUGCUCGCCUCGCGGCAACCAGGCCAGGCCUCAGGAAGCACCGGAGUCAGAGUCACAGCUUUUCAGCUGGGAUGUCAGAUAUUUACAAGGAAAUGAAUCUGAAGACUCACUUGUGAUCUCGAGGCCUCCCUCAAAAGCCUGCACAGCCCACCAUGUGAUCCACGGCCCACGGCUAAGGAGCCUGCAAGCCGAGUGUCCAAACACAGCUCUGUACCACAAGACUCUGCUGAAGCCUCAGAAAUGCAGUGAUCUGGGGAUGUAGCUGGAUAAGAGGGACUUCACCCAGCUUUCCUAAAUCCAGCAAGUGUGCCUCCCACAUCACGAGUCCCACAGCGCCACACAGGCAGCACAGUUCCACACAGACCAACAUCUGGGUUCAAGCACCUUCGCCUCUUCUCUAGGGAGCUGCUGUCCUCACGCAACCACUGGGCGAUGGAAUUCCAACUUCUACUUUAAUCUAAAACUUAACAGCAAAUUGCAACGGAGAAAAGGAAGGGGUUUCCAAGUACCCGUCCUCCUUCUGAAGAGAGUGACUCCCCCACAGCCAAGUUCUGGAAAACACAGUGGCCGAGGCAACGGGAAACAGCUGUGCCUGCAGCGGCUCCUGUGCUCCAGCGCUCCCCACUCCCACCCCUUCCCCAGGAGUCCUCAGGAGAACCUGCCGUGCAGGCCAGGUGCUGCUUCGUUCCAGGAAAGAAAGGGGCCUGGGAGAGAGAGGCGACUCCUCGUGCCCAGGAGAAGGGGGCAGAGUCAGGAGGACCACGUACUCUGCUCUGUCCAGACCUGCUGUGCUCAGCCGUGAGAAGUUCCAGUUUCACACCCACAGAAAUGCCCACCACGCACCACUCCUGGGACAGCUCAGGAUGAAUCCCAUGGCCUUAAAUACGCAUGCUUUCAGUAAAAAUGAUACAGAAACCAA